Molecule: ribosomal RNA, 480 nt
Filed under: uncultured bacterium
Lineage: Bacteria
Description: partial 16S ribosomal RNA
Rfam family: Bacterial small subunit ribosomal RNA
Source: RNAcentral
GAUGAACGCUAGCGGCAGGCCUAAUACAUGCAAGUCGAGGGGUAUGGGUUGCUUGCAACCCAGAGACUGGCGCACGGGUGCGUAACGCGUAUGCAAUCUACCUUAAUCAGGGGGAUAGCCCGGAGAAAUCCGGAUUAACACCGCAUAACAUUGAGUUGUGGCAUCACAGUUCAAUCAAAUAUUUAUAGGAUUAAGAUGAGCAUGCGUGACAUUAGUUAGUUGGUGAGGUAACGGCUCACCAAGACCACGAUGUCUAGGGGAUCUGAGAGGAUGACCCCCCACACUGGUACUGAGACACGGACCAGACUCCUACGGGAGGCAGCAGUAAGGAAUAUUGGUCAAUGGGCGCAAGCCUGAACCAGCCAUGCCGCGUGCAGGAAGACGGCCCUAUGGGUUGUAAACUGCUUUUGUACCGGAAUAAACCUUCUCUUGCGAGAGAAGCUGAACGUACGGUAAGAAUAAGGAUCGGCUAACUCCGUG